GAUGAACGCUGGCGGCGUGCCUAAUACAUGCAAGUCGAGCGAACAGACGAGGAGCUUGCUCCCCUGACGUUAGCGGCGGACGGGUGAGUAACACGUGGAUAACCUACCUAUAAGACUGGGAUAACUUCGGGAAACCGGAGCUAAUACCGGAUAACAUGUUGAACCGCAUGGUUCAACAGUGAAAGACGGUCUUGCUGUCACUUAUAGAUGGAUCCGCGCCGCAUUAGCUAGUUGGUAAGGUAACGGCUUACCAAGGCAACGAUGCGUAGCCGACCUGAGAGGGUGAUCGGCCACACUGGAACUGAGACACGGUCCAGACUCCUACGGGAGGCAGCAGUCGGGAAUCUUCCGCAAUGGGCGAAAGCCUGACGGAGCAACGCCGCGUGAGUGAAGAAGGUCUUCGGAUCGUAAAGCUCUGUUAUUAGGGAAGAACAAAUGUGUAAGUAACUAUGCACGUCUUGACGGUACCUAAUCAAAAAGCCCCGGCUAACUACGUG
RNAcentral lists this ribosomal RNA (497 nucleotides) under uncultured bacterium. Its description in RNAcentral is "partial 16S ribosomal RNA". It matches the Rfam family "Bacterial small subunit ribosomal RNA", at positions 28 to 507 of the family's 1533-position model. The record is from RNAcentral.